Molecule: ribosomal RNA, 333 nt
Filed under: Triticum aestivum (bread wheat)
Lineage: Eukaryota; Viridiplantae; Streptophyta; Magnoliopsida; Poales; Poaceae
Description: partial small subunit ribosomal RNA
Source: RNAcentral
GAAGCUGAGUUCAUUGCAGCCACAACGGCCGCAUGUCAGGGCGUGUGGGUGGCGCGUCUGCUUGCAGAGAUCACAGGUGAAGAACUUCAGGUGCCACUGCUUCUGGUGGACAACAAAUCUGCCAUAGCUCUCUGCAAGAAUCCGGUUCUCCACGACAGAAGUAAGCACAUAGAUGUGCGGUAUCAUUUCAUCAGGGAAUGUGUGGAGGAUGGAAGGAUGACAGUUGAUUACAUCCGAACUGAAGAUCAGUUGGCUGACAUUCUGACGAAGCCCCUGGGACGGGUCAGGUUCAUCCAGCUGAGAGAGAAGAUUGGAAUGAAGAAAAUAAAGUAA